UUUCUUUGGAAAGCUCCUACUAAGAUUAGAAAUUCCCCAAUAAAGCUGCUAGUGGUGCGCACACACAAAUGCUAGGCGAGAUACGUAGUUCUCUCAACCCUUCCUAUCCAUCAUUACAGACCGGAACUAGAUCGGAUUAGGUAGAGCAAGACCUUGAGCCUCUUGAGAAACCAAUAGAAACGACAGUAGCUAGCUUCACCAGAAGAUGAAGAAAGACUUCUAUAACUUCACUUCCCUAUUGAGUAGAAUGCAUGGCAAGUUUCCACUGCUUUAGGCUACUCUACUAAGACUUAGAACAUACCCUUCAAAUCAAAAAGCAAAAAUCAAGAAAAGUUCGUCGUCUGUGAUUUAAUCAGCCCUAAGGGAGUUUACUCGACCCAUUCUCCAGUCUCCCGCACUGCUCAAGUGUGCGACUCCGUAUGAGGACCUCACCCUAUCCCUCGCUCUGCCCAGCCAGGGCAUAGAUCACUCUCUGUUUACUCCUACUUCUGUGAAGAACAGAGGCAUCCAAAAAGAGACGAGAAGAAGCCCGCGCCUUUGCCUGCUUCCUUAGCUACGUCAGCUUUGCCUGCUUCCUUAGCUACGUCAGAAGGUAGGGCCUGAUUGACAGACGGCUCCGAAGAAGAUUUGAAGUUGUCCAUAAUUUACUGAGUACUCAGUAUAACUCACGCAUUCGUGUACAAACAAGUGCAGACGAAGUAACACGAAUAUCUCCGGUAGUCAGUCCAUUUCCAUCAGCCGGCCGGUGGGAGCGAGAAGUAUGGGAUAUGUCUGGUGUUUCUUCCAUCAAUCAUCCGGAUUUACGCCGUAUAUCAACAGAUUAUGGUUUCGAGGGUCAUCCAUUACGAAAAGACUUUUCUCUGAGUGGAUAUGUGGAAGUACAAAAAUUUUACUUCAAUUUUUCUAUAAAAUUGAAAAAAGUUUCCGAUUCACCAAACUAAUUCUUAUCUAUUUCUGAAGGAAUAAAAAAAUACUAGAAUUCUUAAUUUUUCAAAAAUUUUCUCAUUGAAACAAUCAAAAAAUAAGAAUAGGUUUUGUUAGUUAAAGUCAAAAAGUUAAUGAAAUAACUUCGUUACCUAGUUAUUACCUAAAGAAGGACUUUUAUUAAAAUACAAAAAAAAGAUUGAAUCAUUUUACUUUAAUAUUUUUUUGUAUUAAAAUGAAGCAGCUCCCUGACAUUACCAACGACUGGAACCUGCUUGCUUGAUACAAAGCUGUGGUAGUUUUUCCCAUGGAUUUCCUGUAAACAUCUGAACAACUUAGUAUCUUCUACCUGUAUUGCAGACGGAAAAUAUGGUCCGGCCGGCCGGAUCCCCCUGAAAACCGUACGUGCGGGUCUCCCCGCAUGAAAGCCGAGCUAUUAAUUGAAUCAUGCUUUUGAUUGAACGACAAAACAUCGAUCUGUUAAAGUCGAUAAUUCUGAUUCGUCUUCGGGGUAUGCCGUAAAGAUAGCCGAGACCGAGGAUAGGUGCCAAUCUGUUUUACGGGCUUCUAUAGAGGUACGGGAAACGGUUGGGGGCAAUAAAGUAGGUGAAGUGGUUGGAUUUUGUGAGCUGUUCCAACCACUGCUGGAUGUGAUUCCAAGAGCCGAACCAGAAUGAAUACCACACAGAAGAGUCAACCCACCCAUAGCCGGUCUAACUGCAGAGAGAGAAAAGUGCUUUUCUUUCCCUAAGAGUCCUCAAGUACACACAGCUAUUGCUGAUCCUUUGCGAGAUCAGGAUGAGACCCUUCAGAAUUUAUAAUCAUCAUAAAUAUGAUCUAUCAAAUGAGGAAAAUCCAAGCGAAAAAGCGCCCUAUGCUAUCUUAUCCAAAAGAGGUCGACCCUCCAGCUCUAGAUCCUUAAAACAGUGGAUUUGCAUAUUGGUACCAUUGCUUCAUAGAAAGGGCAUUAACAUACGUUUUUGAUCGAUGGAGUGUAUUUAACAUAUUUAAGAGUGGUUAGGAGAGAGAAUCAAUGUUUAAUAGUAGGCCCGGUUCACCAGGUUAUACCACUGUUCGCCCCAAUUAUAGUCAAAAUAUGAGUUUGAUCCUGGCUCAGAAGGAACGCGUACUUUGAGUUUUGAACAAUAGUUAGAAUUUCUUAUUAAGUGAUUCCCCGGUUUUUGAUCUUCUUUUAGCACAUACAUGCAUACAGUAGGCCAUGAAUUCCUAUUUGUGACAUCUAACUUAGUACCAUCAAACUUUGCAUGACCGAAUAAUUCAAGGAGGGGCGCACAGCGGGGAGGGUCCUUUUUAGUAGAUGACUCGUCGGGCCGUCAUUUUCUAUCAGGAAGGCUAUGUCAUUUACAACCCCGGCGUAUUUCGGAUGCUUGAAGGCCCCGCUCACCCGAAGUGAUUUAGAAAAAUUCUUCUUUCUCGAUGGUGAUCGGUCAUGGUAUCCAUAACGUUGCAUCUUUUUCGGCCAAAUCCUGAUUUCGUUUUGCUUCUCCUGGUCGAUCGACUCGACUCUUUUCCCUGCCCCCCGGCCUCUUACUUCGUUUCGUUCUUCCUCUGUACACUCGCUUGAAUGAAGACACCCGAUCGGCCCGACUUUCCCAAAUGCCCACCACCGGCCCUUAUCCUUUCCGGGUCUUGAUUUGUCGCGUCAUUUUAGUCGUAGUGGUCAAUAAUUGGAAAUCCUUUUUACAAAUCUCCUCCUCAGAGCGCCCUGUAACCUUACUUUUUCUGAAUGGUACACCUUAUUUAAGACAUUCAGAAUAGAAGAAGAGCAGUCAUCGAUUGAUUGAAAGUGGAUUGACGGCAUUCAUCAGUUGAUUGAAAAUGGACUUUUCUUUUAUGAUCGAGCGAGGUCCCUUUUGGGCUUAAAAGUCCUUUGAGCCGUGGAAUCCCUUUUGUCUUGAUUUAGGAGAAUAGGCGCAUUGAUUAGGUUACGUGGUUUGAGCAAUCUGCAGGAAGUUUAUUUUUUUCUUUAUUAUAUAUACCAUUCAUAUUUAUUAUUCUAUAUACCAUUCAUAUUAAAGUAAGACGGAUAGGGCAUAUUUGACUAGGAAGCAAGCAAAGCUAGUCCCUCCAUACCAGCUAGCAGUCUUGCCUCGAGAAAGGAGCUCGCAACAAAACGAGAGCUUUUUGAUAGCCCGUUCACUCGAUUACCACGCUUAGUAAGUCUGUCUGCAGGGAUGGGAAUGGCGUAGUCUGUCUGAAAGUGCUCUAGACAUAGGUUCAUCCCGAGCACCACAUAGUUUCCAGAUGCAAGCUGGCGGGGAAGAGUUUAUGGUUCUGAGAGGACAUACCGUUGCAAACUCAUCUGCUUGUAAAUUCAUUGUGUAAAAUAACUCGUAAAUUCAUUGUGCCAGAAUUGAUCACUGAUCAGAGCUUGAAACUCUUCACUCUGUUGUUGCAUCCGUUCGGCUAGAUCUGUUUGGAUCUUAUCCAUGGAUUCUCUCAUAGCUCUAAUUUGCUCCUCAAGUUGUCUAGAUCGGUGUCACGUCCCAAAUCGACUCUAAAAUACAUCCUCGAAAUUGUGCAAAGAAUAAUUAAAAUUCAUGUGAAAGCCUCCAACAAUUAAAAUGUGCAAAGAUAAAAGUCAAAUGAGGCUUGGAGGAUUUUUGUAUAUUUCCUAGAAGCCUAAAAUGCGUAAAUAAAUUUUAGUGGAAUUUUCAGAGCACAAAUAAUAAUUGAGAAGAAAUAAACAAAGUUGAAAAGGUUUAUAAAAAGAAAAACCCUAAAAGAAGUCCUCUUUCUCCCCCCCUUCCUUUCUUGGGCCGGCUCGGCCCACUUCUCUUCCCUCUCUCUCUCCUUUCCCCCGCGGCCCAUCGGCUCCUCCCAGCGCGCGCGCCGCUGACAGGCGGGCCCGCCCGCCACCCUCGCUGACGGGUGGGACCCACCUGUCAUCGCCUUCCUCCCGCCGCGUCCGCCGCUCGCCCGUGCCCUAGCGCCGCCGCCGCCGCGGAUUCCGCCGCAUCCCGCCGUCCCCGCGCACCAUAAAGAGGGGGGAAAUAUUCCCCGCGAUUCCCUCUCCCGUUUCCCCCGUUUUCCUCUCUCUCUCUCCCUCGGAUUCGUCCCGAUUCAUGCCCGCAAAGUUCGCCGGCGCAAUCAAUGGCGGCCGAGAUCUCCGCGCCGGUUUCCAUCUCCUCCGGCCGCUCUCUCCUCCUCUCGGCCCUAUUUAAACGUCUCCCGUGCCUCUCUCCUCCGUUUCCGCCGUUCGCCGCUCGCUCUCACCGUCGCAUUCGUGCUCGCGCCGUCUUCCUCUCUCUCCGCCGUCGCCGACAAGCUCCGGUUCGCCGCCGCCGUCGCUCCGGACUUCCUCCCCACUCGGCGUCACCUCCAUCGGCUUCGCCGCGUUCCCGUCGACCUCGUCCGCGCCUCCGUUUCGCUCGCCGACCGCCGGAGCACCGUCGUCCUCGUCGUCCCGAACCGCGCCGCCGCCUUCCUCCGCUUCGGCCGCCGUUCCCGUCGUCGCCGUCGACCGGGGUGAGCCGAAGACCGCUCCAUUCGCUUCCCCCUUCCCUCCUCUCUCUCGGGUGCCGCUCCGCCGCGCCGGUGGUCGCCGGCGGUGACCAUCGGGGCGCGGGCGCGUCCCCCUCCCGUCGGCCGUGCCGGCGAGGCCGCCUUCGGGCGUGCCCUCGCGGCUGCCAAGUGGGCCCGGCCGUCAGCCGCCCGCGCCCGCGGGUGCGGCUGACGCGUGGGACCCACGGCACCGGCCGCCGUCAGCCGUGUGCGCCCGGUCCACCAUGGACCGAGAGGCUGACGCGUGGGCCCCACUCCCGUGGACCCGGUCCGCGCGCCCUCUCCCGGCUGACGCAAUAAAUGAGAUUUUUAAUUAAAAUUUAAAUGAAGAAAUCCGCAAAUAUCCAUUAAAGAGCAUAUAAACUUCAAAUGGCCAUAUCUUGGCCAUUUGAACUCGGAAUUGGACCGUUCAAGUCUCUAAUUUUUCCUUAAGAAGUCAAGAACCCAUUUUUGUGCUUUGUUUCUGCUGUUAUGUGGAGUUUAUUAGAGUAAAAGCCUUUUUCUUUUCCGUUGGUCGUGUAGACGCUGCAGCUUCGGAAGAUCCGCUCUUCGUGGAAGUCGAAGCCGUCGGUUGGGAAAGCGAGCAAGGCAAGUCACAUCAUCUUUGAACAUAUUGAAUCCCAGUUUGUAAAAUUAUGUUGAUUUAAAUUAUUGCAUUAUCGCUUUAUUUAAAUUCCCGCGUUAUCACUGUUUUAUUUAGCCAUGCCUAUUUACCUUUGUUAUGACCUUAUUAUUGCUAUUGUUAUUAUUAUUCCCUUGUUCACCCUAGAGCAAACAAAACCUCAACUAGUGGACACUCUACUCAUGGCACCACUAGUUUAAUUUUAGGUAGAUGCUUCGCAAUUUAAUUAGGUAACAUUAGGCGGUUUUACAACUCUAGACUUUGGGAUAUUCUCAUAUCAUUUGGACACUAUGGAAUUGUUGGUUUAUGUUGGAAUUGGACACACACCUCUCUUCCUCUUUCAAAACCCCUAAAACCUGUUUUCGGUGGGGUUUGGGUGCAUGUCAGUUGUGGGAAGUAGCACCCCGGCCACUAUAAGGAUUAAGCUCGGGCCUCUGUUGCAAAGCACUACCGUACUUCCACAUGUCUAGUGGGUAAGGCUUAGUUUGUGGCUCAGGCUAGUCAUAAACAAAAGUACACGGAUUGGAGAUGGAUGAAGUCGGGGGUCGAUGGACAUUCUCCAGGGCAAAUGAAGGCUACACGAGCUGCGGCCCGGUAGUCGAGAUGUCAUACGGCAGAGGGUUGGUGCCCUGCUGCUAGGGGCUCAGUCCUGCCUGCCUGUCCCGGGGGUUCCGGCCGUAGGCGGGAUUGGGUCGGUACUCUUGUCUAUGGCUAGGAUGGGUUGGAAACUAUGUCACGUCUUCCGUCUGUAUACCGUGGUGGUAUGUGGCACGUGGUUACACGUGAGGAAGAUGUGUCUUGUGGGUAAAGAUGUACACCUCUGAUCAGAGUAAAACCUAUUCGAAUAGCCGCGCCCUCGGUUAUGGGCAAGCCGAGCAAUGUACCCAAGUCAGUGUUAUAAUUCUUAAAAUUUGCUCAACAACUAAAAUGUGGAAUGGUUGGCCUGGGUUGGCUUGGGACGAGCUGGGACCCAGGGUCGGGUUGCCAGUUCGGUCUGAAUCAUCGUAGGCCUUGGGUUAAGGCAGGUUCGUGUGGGUUCACGGCCUUGAUUAAUAAUACUGUUUAGUUCUAGGAUCGUGUUUACAAAAUAGCUUUGAGCAACUAAAUGUCUUUAAAUGCUGUUUACUGCAACCCUAACCCUUUAUAUUAUAAUUCCCUUGUACUCCCUUGCAUUUAUUCUGCAUUUGUGGGUGUGUCUUGUUGAGUACGGUGGUUGUACUCAGUCUUGCUCAAUUUUUCCCAAGCCCAGAAGAGGAGCUCCUUGAAGAUGAAGGCUUUGGUGUCUAGCUCGUGCCUGCCGUCAAGCGCCUGUGGUCGUCGCCCUAGUCUUCCGCUGUUUUUCGUUUGUCUCUGUGUGUGCUGGGCCUUCGCUACCCAUGUAAUAAGUUAACUAUUUACGCUUCCGCUUGUUAAACUCUGAUUUGUAUCAACUUUUGGUGUACCUUGCCUCCUGGGACAAGGAUUAAUGCACGCACGUCAGGAAAGCCCGUUGGGUUAUUUCCGGUCGUGACAAGUUGGUAUCAGAGCCACCCUUGACCCUAGGACGAGCCGUAGAUCCCAAGCCUUAGCAAUAUUUUCCAAAAAUAAAAAUCCUUUGUUAUUUGUGAAAACUGUCUAGUCUCUCUCUGUCUUGCUGCUUCAUUUAUCGCCAAAAAUCUGACCUUUGAAAAUGUUGCUUUUCUUUUCUUUGUUUUUAGAUGGCCGGCAGCGUCACCCGUCGUGGUUUGGACAUGACUGGCUUCGUCUUGGAGCUGCGCGGCAUGUGCGUUGUCUUAGGGUAUCCACAUGGAGUGGACUACCAGGCCAGGCCGCUUCCGGAGCAGGAGGGUGAUGAUGCGGAGCCCCGCGCUGGUUGGGAGGUCACUGCAGUGAUCCUCGCUGGCUCUUCUGAGCGGACUUCGCUGACAGUCACCGCGGGUGGCGACUCCUUCCCCGCCGCUUGCCAGAACGCCGCUCUCCUCGCCAUCGGCACUCUUCACCAGCGCUACCCGGACGAGUUGCAGCACUCGUCCUACCGCUACCACCCUCGUCGCGGAGGAGCCCGCGACUACGCCACCUUCCGGGAUGCUAGCUCGGAGGAUGACGCUACCGUCGUGCAUCUGGCACGCAUGGUGGAGGCAUACGACGCGGCUCGUAUCGACUUCCAUCAGAUGGUGCGUCGUGGGAUGGUCGAGAACAACCUGAAGAUCCUGGAGCUGCGUCAAGAGAAUCUGCAGCUCAAGAAGGACCUCGACGCAGUGGAGGCGCAGCUGCAUCAGCUCAAGAUCGCCCAGGGAGAGGUCUGCCGCCCCAAGCGUCGCCGCGUCUGCCGCAGCCAGAAGAUCACCGCCCGCAAGAGCACCUCCAGGCCCGAGCUUGUCCGUCAGUCCCUGGCAUGGACCUGCUUCGUCGAGACCCCUUGUGCCGAGCCUGCGCCCGUGGUUCCCCAGGAGGGGGAAGCCUCCGGCGUUGGUAGCACGGAGGAUGUGCUGUUGCUCACCUUCCGUCCUGGCCCGUCGCAGCAGUAGACGAGCAGUUAGUAGGCUUGCGCGUGUGUUCUUUCUCGUUUGUCUUUUUGGAGUCGUGUGGGGCAUGGUUAUGCCGGUGUGUGGCAUAACUAUGUCGGAGCCUGUCUUUAUUUGUUUGCCUAAGCAACUUGAACUUUAAUGAACCAAUUUAAUAGCAGUGAUAAAUUUAAGAAUAAUGGUAGUCGUGGGUGGUUAGUUUUAAUUGUUAGCUCUUUCCCUGUUUGCUGGUUCUGUGUGGGGUUUCCAGAUGGUGACGACCAGGAGAAACGCUGUUACCGGUGAUGGCAACCAACCUGAAGGCAGCAACCACAACCACCAGGGCAACCCACCUCCACCUCCACCUCCUCCUCCACCACCACCACCAGACACCAACGCCAUUCUCACCCAAAUCCUCGCCCAGCAAGCCAACAUGAUGAAUGCUUUCCUCCACCACCUCCAAAAUCCACCACAACAGAAUGCUCCACCACCACCUCCCCAACACUCUAAACUCGCCGAGUUCCUCCGCAUCCGCCCACCUACCUUCUCUAGCUCCAACAACCCCGUGGAUGCGUUGGAUUGGUUGCAUGCCGUGGGGAAAAAGCUAGACACGGUGCAGUGUACCGAUGAGGAGAAAGUCAUCUUCGCCGCCCACCAACUGCAGGGGCCCGCAUCUCUCUGGUGGGACCACUUCCAGGCUACGCAGCCAGAGGGACAGCCGAUUACUUGGGCCCGCUUCACCGCCGCUUUCCGGAGAACCCAUGUGCCCGCUGGAGUCGUGGCCCUUAAGAAAAGGGAAUUCCGAGAGUUGAAGCAAGGCAACCGCUCCGUGCUGGAGUAUUUGCAUGAAUUCAACAAUCUGGCCCGUUACGCUCCGGAGGAUGUGCGGGGAGAUGAGGAGAAGCAAGAGAAGUUCCUGGCAGGAAUGGACCCUGAGCUGUCCGUCCGCCUAGUCUCUGGGGACUAUCCGGAUUUCCAACGACUGGUGGACAAGAGCAUCCGCUUGGAAGCCAAGCACAAGGAACUGGAGUCGCACAAGCGCCGCUUGGCGAAUUUCCGCAAUCAACAGGGUGCUAACCAGAGGGUCCGCUACACCAAUCCCUAUCCAGGGGGAUCCUCCUCGCAGCAGCAACAACAGCAGCAGCAACCUCGCCCAGCGCCUCGACCUCAAUUCGUGGUGCGUGUCCCACAGCCGCAGCAACAGCAGAAUCAACAAGGGACUCGUGCGCCCCGUCCUCCUACGCCAACUGUGCCGCCUGGUCAAGGCCGCAGGGACGCUCAAGGUCAGCAGCGUCUGUGCUUCAACUGCUUCGAGCCCGGGCACUUUGCGGAUAAAUGCCCAAAGCCAAGGCGUCAGCAAGGCCAAGCGCCUCCCCGCUCCAACAACGGCGGGAAGGAUGUCAUUCGGGGUCGUGUGAAUCACGUGACGGCCGAGGACGUGCUGACAACUCCAGACGUCAUCGUUGGUACGUUCCUCGUUCAUUCCAUCCCUGCUACAAUUUUGUUCGACUCUGGAGCUUCCCACUCGUUUAUAUCUGUGCCAUUCGUGGGGAGAAAUCAGUUGGGGGUAGAAAGGCUUAGGAACCCUCUGCUCAUCACCACCCCUGGAGGGGUUAUGACAGCAAAGUAUUAUAGCCCUGCCGUCCCUAUAGAAAUUCAGGGGAUUCCUUUUCCCUCGGAUCUGAUUCUGCUAGACACAAAGAACUUGGAUGUGAUUCUUGGAAUGAAUUGGUUGGCUCAAUUCCAAGGAGUAGUGGAUUGCGCGAGACGCACUGUCACUCUGUACCGAGGGCCAGAACAACCGGUUGUUUUCUUUGCACCCCCAACCUCUGUCAGAAGUUCAGAACUUCAUCAGAUAGGACUGUCAGAAAUCCCCAUCGUCAGGGAGUUCGGAGAUGUGUUUCCGGAAGAACUACCUGGUAUGCCGCCCAAGCGAGAGAUUGAGUUCCGAAUAGAUCUUGCUCCAGGAACCACUCCUCUGUACAAGCGACCCUACCGUAUGGCAGCAAAUGAACUGGCCGAAGUAAAGAAACAGUUGGAAGAGUUGAAAGAAAAGGGGUAUAUACGUCCGAGUACUUCCCCAUGGGGUGCUCCUGUGAUUUUUGUAGAGAAGAAAGACAAGACGAAGAGGAUGUGCGUUGACUACAGAGCUCUCAAUGAAGUCACCAUCAAAAACAAGUACCCUCUUCCCCGGAUCGAUGAUCUGUUCGAUCAGCUUAAAGGUGCCACUGUAUUCUCCAAGAUUGAUCUCCGUUCCGGAUAUCACCAAUUACGUAUUCGUGAAGAAGAUAUUCCGAAGACCGCAUUCACCACGCGAUACGGGCUGUAUGAAUUCACGGUGAUGUCGUUCGGUUUGACCAAUGCACCUGCCUUCUUCAUGAACUUAAUGAACAAAGUGUUCAUGGAAUACUUGGAUAAGUUUGUUGUGGUUUUCAUUGAUGACAUUCUGAUAUACUCACAAUCAGAGGAAGACCAUCAGCACCAUCUCCGUCUGGUGUUGGGAAAGUUACGGGAACAUCAAUUGUAUGCCAAGCUUAGCAAGUGUGAGUUCUGGUUGUCCGAAGUCAAAUUCUUAGGGCACGUGAUAUCUGCUAAAGGAGUUGCUGUGGACCCCGAAACAGUGACCGCCGUCACCGAUUGGAAGCAACCCAAGACAGUUACCCAAGUCCGUAGUUUCUUAGGUUUGGCAGGAUACUACCGGAGAUUCAUCGAGAACUUCUCCAGAAUCGCUCGACCCAUGACACGGUUGUUGAAGAAAGAAGAGAAAUUUGUGUGGAGCCCGCAAUGCGAGAAGGCGUUCCAAACUCUCAAGGAAAAGCUAGUUUCCUCGCCGGUGUUAAUCUUGCCGGAUACUCGCAAGGACUUCAUGGUGUAUUGUGAUGCUUCGCGCCAAGGAUUGGGGUGCGUGCUCAUGCAGGAUGGUCAUGUGGUAGCCUAUGCCUCCCGUCAGCUUCGACCGUAUGAAGGCAACUACCCUACCCAUGACUUGGAAUUAGCCGCAGUGGUUCAUGCUCUAAAAAUCUGGCGGCACUAUCUCAUUGGGAAUCGCUGUGAAAUAUAUACCGACCAUAAGAGUCUGAAAUACAUCUUCACCCAGUCGGAUCUGAAUCUUCGGCAAAGGAGAUGGUUAGAACUCAUCAAAGAUUAUGAUGUGGGAAUUCACUAUCAUCCUGGUAAGGCCAACGUGGUUGCCGACGCUCUAAGUCGAAAGAGCCAUUGCAACACUCUUAACGUCCGUGGCAUUCCACCCGCACUUAAUCAACAGAUGGAAGCCCUGAACCUAAGCAUAGUUGGUCGUGGAUUCUUGGCUGCGUUGGAAGCCAAGCCUAACUUGCUCGAUCAAAUCCGCGAGGCUUAGAAGAAUGAUCCGGACAUGCAUGGACUCCUCAAGAAGAUGAAACAGGGUAAAGCCGCUGGUUUCACAGAGGAUGAACACGGAACCCUAUGGAACGGAAAGCGGGUAUGCGUUCCAGAUAACAGAGAACUUAAACAGCUGAUACUUCAGGAAGCUCACGAAAGUCCUUAUUCCAUUCACCCGGGCAGUACAAAGAUGUACUUAGACUUGAAAGAGAAAUACUGGUGGGUUAGCAUGAAGCGGGAGAUUGCAGAGUUUGUGGCCCUAUGUGAUGUGUGCCAGCGUGUCAAGGCAGAGCACCAACGACCGGCCGGACUUCUCCAACCACUCCAAGUACCCGAAUGGAAAUGGGAUGAAAUUGGGAUGGAUUUCAUCACCGGACUUCCAAAAACCCAAGGCGGAUAUGAUUCUAUAUGGGUAGUUGUGGAUCGAUUAACCAAGGUAGCCCGAUUUAUUCCUGUGAAGACCACCUAUGGAGGAAACAAGCUAGCCGAGCUCUACUUCGCUAGGAUCGUGAGUCUCCAUGGCGUUCCCAAGAAAAUCGUAUCUGAUAGGGGAAGCCAAUUCACCUCUCACUUUUGGAAGAAGCUCCAAGAAGAACUGGGUACUCGAUUGAAUUUCAGCACCGCCUAUCACCCGCAGACAGAUGGACAGACCGAGCGUCUAAAUCAGAUCCUAGAAGACAUGCUUCGCGCAUGUGUACUAGAUUUCGGGAAGACCUGGGAUAAGAGUCUCCCCUAUGCCGAGUUCUCCUACAAUAACAGCUAUCAAUCCAGCAUACAAAUGGCACCUUAUGAAGCGUUGUACGGGCGCAAAUGCCGGACACCACUCUUGUGGGACCAAGUAGGAGAAAGCCAAGUGUUCGGGACUGAUAUCCUGAGAGAAGCUGAAGCUAAAGUUAGAAUCAUUCGGGAUAAUCUAAAGGUGGCACAGUCCCGGCAGAAAAGUUAUGCAGAUAACCGCCGCCGUGACCUGGAAUUCGCAGUGGACGACUUUGUGUAUCUUCGGGUCACGCCAUUGCGAGGUGUACACAGGUUUCAGACGAAAGGGAAGCUCGCACCUCGGUAUGUGGGUCCUUUCCGUAUCGUUGCUCGACGUGGAGAAGUCGCUUACCAAUUGGAGCUGCCCGCCUCCUUGGGCAACGUGCAUGAUGUGUUUCAUGUGUCGCAACUCAAGAAGUGUCUCCGAGUGCCAUCCGAGCAGGCCGACUCAGAGCAAAUUGAAGUUCGCGAAGAUUUGACCUAUGUGGAAAGGCCAGUGAAAAUCCUGGACACCAUGGAGCGCAGGACCAGGAACCGGGUAAUCCGUUUUUGCAAGGUCCAGUGGAGCAACCACGCCGAAGAAGAAGCUACCUGGGAGCGUGAAGACGAGCUGAAGGCAGCCCAUCCCGAUCUCUUCGCCAGUUCUUCCGAAUCUCGGGGUCGAGAUUCCGUUUAAGGGGGGUAGGUUUGUCACGUCCCAAAUCGACUCUAAAAUACAUCCUCGAAAUUGUGCAAAGAAUAAUUAAAAUUCAUGUGAAAGCCUCCAACAAUUAAAAUGUGCAAAGAUAAAAGUCAAAUGAGGCUUGGAGGAUUUUUGUAUAUUUCCUAGAAGCCUAAAAUGCGUAAAUAAAUUUUAGUGGAAUUUUCAGAGCACAAAUAAUAAUUGAGAAGAAAUAAACAAAGUUGAAAAGGUUUAUAAAAAGAAAAACCCUAAAAGAAGUCCUCUUUCUCCCCCCCUUCCUUUCUUGGGCCGGCUCGGCCCACUUCUCUUCCCUCUCUCUCUCCUUUCCCCCGCGGCCCAUCGGCUCCUCCCAGCGCGCGCGCCGCUGACAGGCGGGCCCGCCCGCCACCCUCGCUGAUGGGUGGGACCCACCUGUCAUCGCCUUCCUCCCGCCGCGUCCGCCGCUCGCCCGUGCCCUAGCGCCGCCGCCGCCGCGGAUUCCGCCGCAUCCCGCCGUCCCCGCGCGCCAUAAAGAGGGGGGAAAUAUUCCCCGCGAUUCCCUCUCCCGUUUCCCCCGUUUUCCUCUCUCUCUCUCCCUCGGAUUCGUCCGAUUUUGUGCCCGCAAAGUUCGCCGGCGCAAUCAAUGGCGGCCGAGAUCUCCGCGCCGGUUUCCAUCUCCUCCGGCCGCUCUCUCCUCCUCUCGGCCCUAUUUAAACGUCUCCCGUGCCUCUCUCCUCCGUUUCCGCCGUUCGCCGCUCGCUCUCACCGUCGCAUUCGUGCUCGCGCCGUCUUCCUCUCUCUCCGCCGUCGCCGACAAGCUCCGGUUCGCCGCCGCCGUCGCUCCGGACUUCCUCCCCACUCGGCGUCACCUCCAUCGGCUUCGCCGCGUUCCCGUCGACCUCGUUCGCGCCUCCGUUUCGCUCGCCGACCGACGGAGCGCCGUCAUCCUCGUCGUCCCGAACCGCGCCGCCGCCUUCUUCCGCUUCGGCCGCCGUUCCCGUCGUCGCCGUCGACCGGGGUGAGCCGAAGACCGCUCCAUUCGCUUCCCCCUUCCCUCCUCUCUCUCGGGUGCCGCUCCGCCGCGCCGGUGGUCGCCGGCGGUGACCAUCGGGGCGCGGGCGCGUCCCCCUACCUUCGGCCGUGCCGGCGAGGCCGCCUUCGGGCGCGCCCUCGCGGCUGCCAGGUGGGACCCGGCCGUCAGCCGCCCGAGCCCGCGGGUGCGGCUGACGCGUGGGACCCACGGCACCGGCCGCCGUCAGCCGUGUGCGCCCGGUCCAACCGUGGACCGAGAGGCUGACGCGUGGGCCCCACUCCCGUGGACCCGGUCCGCGCGCCCUCUCCCGGCUGACGCAAUAAAUGAGAUUUUUUAAUUAAAACUUUAAAUGAAGAAAUCCGCAAAUAUCCAUUAAAGAGCAUAUAAACUUCAAAUGGCCAUAUCUUGGCCAUUUGAACUCGGAAUUGGACCGUUCAAGUCUCUAAUUUUUCCUUAAGAAGUCAAGAACCCAUUUUUGUGCUUUGUUUCUGUUGUUAUGUGGAGUUUAUUAGAGUAAAAGCCUUUUUCUUUUCCGUUGGUCGUGUAGACGCUGCAGCUUCGGAAGAUCCGCUCUUCGUGGAAGUCGAAGCCGUCGGUUGGGAAAGCGAGCAAGGCAAGUCACAUCAUCUUUGAACAUAUUGAAUCCCAGUUUGUAAAAUUAUGUUGAUUUAAAUUAUUGCAUUAUCGCUUUAUUUAAAUUCCCGCGUUAUCACUGUUUUAUUUAGCCAUGCCUAUUUACCUUUGUUAUGACCUUAUUAUUGCUAUUGUUAUUAUUAUUCCCUUGUUCACCCUAGAGCAAACAAAACCUCAACUAGUGGACACUCUACUCAUGGCACCACUAGUUUAAUUUUAGGUAGAUGCUUCGCAAUUUAAUUAGGUAACAUUAGGCGGUUUUACAACUCUAGACUUUGGGAUAUUCUCAUAUCAUUUGGACACUAUGGAAUGGUUGGCUUAUGUUGGAAUUGGACACACACCUCUCUUCCUCUUUCAAAACCCCUAAAACCUGUUUUCGGUGGGGUUUGGGUGCAUGCCAGUUGUGGGAAGUAGCACCCCGGCCACUAUAAGGAUUAAGCUCGGGCCUCUGUUGCAAAGCACUACCGUACUUCCACAUGUCUAGUGGGUAAGGCUUAGUUUGUGGCUCAGGCUAGUCAUAAACAAAAGUACACGGAUUGGAGAUGGAUGAAGUCGGGGGUCGAUGGACAUUCUCCAGGGCAAAUGAAGGCUACACGAGCUGUGGCCCGGUAGUCGAGAUGUCAUACGGCAGAGGGUUGGUGCCCUGCUGCUAGGGGCUCAGUCCUGCCUGCCUGUCCCGGGGGUUCCGGCCGUAGGCGGGAUUGGGUCGGUACUCUUGUCUAUGGCUAGGAUGGGUUGGAAACUAUGUCACGUCUUCCGUCUGUAUACCGUGGUGGUAUGUGGCACGUGGUUACACGUGAGGAAGAUGUGUCUUGUGGGUAAAGAUGUACACCUCUGAUCAGAGUAAAACCUAUUCGAAUAGCCGCGCCCUCGGUUAUGGGCAAGCCGAGCAAUGUACCCAAGUCAGUGUUAUAAUUCUUAAAAUUUGCUCAACAACUAAAAUGUGGAAUGGUUGGCCUGGGUUGGCUUGGGAUGAGCUGGGACCCAGGGUCGGGUUGCCAGUUCGGUCUGAAUCAUCGUAGGCCUUGGGUUAAGGCAGGUUCGUGUGGGUUCACGGCCUUGAUUAAUAAUACUGUUUAGUUCUAGGAUCGUGUUUACAAAAUAGCUUUGAGCAACUAAAUGUCUUUAAAUGCUGUUUACUGCAACCCUAACCCUUUAUAUUAUAAUUCCCUUGUACUCCCUUGCAUUUAUUCUGCAUUUGUGGGUGUGUCUUGUUGAGUACGGUGGUUGUACUCAGUCUUGCUCAAUUUUUCCCAAGCCCAGAAGAGGAGCUCCUUGAAGAUGAAGGCUUUGGUGUCUAGCUCGUGCCUGCCGUCAAGCGCCUGUGGUCGUCGCCCUAGUCUUCCGCUGUUUUUCGUUUGUCUCUGUGUGUGCUGGGCCUUCGCUGCCCAUGUAAUAAGUUAACUAUUUACGCUUCCGCUUGUUAAACUCUGAUUUGUAUCAACUUUUGGUGUACCUUGCCUCCUGGGACAAGGAUUAAUGCACGCACGUCAGGAAAGCCCGUUGGGUUAUUUCCGGUCGUGACAAUCGGGUCUGAGUUCCUUCGUUUGCCAUGAUCGAGCUCUGAUAGUCUAGUUGAGCAAAGGCCCAUGCCAAUGCCAUAGUUGUGACGAAAGCGAACUGAGCCAUUUUCAUGAUUUUGCAAUCAAAGAAAGUUCCAUACUUUUUUAUUCCCGGUAUGGAGCCAACGUCGCUUCGCUUUCGCAAGACAAUUUCCUUCUGGAAAAAUAUCAGCAAUCAAAUUAUCGUAAAUAGAUAGUACGGUUGCGUUGUUUCAAUUUCUGUUCGUUGGUCCUUGGGUUACGAAGGUGUGGGUUUACUAAUACGGAGAGCGCUAUGUACUAGUUGACGAGCUUGCCUCCAGUACUUGAUAGAAGCCCAUGACUCUCUAUCUGAAAGUGGUCUUGGCCGUAAGCCGAUAGGCGUAGUUGUAGCGAAGCGGCGUGUAUCGUAGUUGUUCGGAUAGCAAGCUACCUGACGUGAUAAGGCUACUAGUGCCCUCCACUCGUGCCUACUUUCACUAACCUAUAGCUAUUGCAUGCAAGCUCAAUCUUCUAUCUCGCAUUGCUACGUGCUCGAAACAGCCAAUUCGCUCGUAUUUUUGCCUCAACUCAUUCCAUGAAUGUUGUUUCAUUCCCACUAAAUCCAACUCAGUCUUUAUCCUGCCUUGGAGUUCUCUCUCAUAACUGAAGCCAGGAGGUAUUCGAUUUAUUGGAUUUCGAGCCCCUUUUCUUGCUCCUUGCCAUUAGCGCAGCCCUUUUCUUUUUCUUAGCUUUAUUUGAAGCGUAGUUUUUCACCUGAAAAAGAAGGAGCAGCGCUUUUGUAGUGACCCCCCGGGGUCCCGGGUUGCUUUGGCGCGCCCCACCCCGUCAGUCCUAUGUUGGGUAGGAGCGGGUCGAGUCCGUAUCACCGCGGAACAACUGCAGCGUCCGGAUCUGAUCUAUCUACUCGGCAAUUCAUCCGGUGACUUCACGGUCGCCAAAGAAGCCCCAAGAAGCAUCAAACAUUUCCGAUGAGAUCCAUGGUGCUAUUCUGAGAUAGCAGGCACUAGCUCCCAGUGCGACUUCAUAAAAAGCAAUCAAAGAUAAGAUCGAAGAAAAUGAAACGCACGUGGUGGUCAUUAUAGCGGUUCCUUCAGAUCCUAGAAAACGUCCAAAAAAACUGGCUACGGAACUACCGAGCAAAGGCAAAAAGACAAUAAGUAGAUACAUAAGAUCGAGUCUCUUCAAAAAAAAAUCAGACAAUGUUCGAGCGGCCUGUCAUUGAGACAAAAACGUGUUAAGCAUAUAAGACCUGAGACUUUCCUCUCUCUCCGAUUGCCGCUUUAUCGCAGAACAUCUAUUUGCUUUCUAUUCGACAAGAAGGACAAGGAAAAGAUAAUGGAUAUGGAACACAGGUCCUGGCACUAUUGGAAAAUGAAGCUCUCUCAGUUCAAACAUAUGAGAUUACUUACCCCGGGAACAAUUUCAGUACAUAUGGCGCAAGACGAUUCCACAUAUAUAUCGAGGUCAGAAUGGGAUCGGGUGUUUUCACGUCUCACCGUAGUGCAGCUUUAUACCACUGAUUUGACCAUUUUGCUGUGCUAGGCUGACCAUUUGGGGAAGAUACUCCAUUAAAAUUCUGAACAAGUAAGGGAACAGCUCUGGAUCCCAAGACAAGACUUCCUCUCAUAUUUAUAUUGAAAAAUAUGAAAACUAAUUAUCUUUAUUCUAGUUCCCUAAAACCCUUUCCGUGGCAUUCCUUUCUGUUCCACUCAUCCAACAUUGUUGGAUGCCAAAGACUUUGACGAAGACCAUUCUUUACCAAAGGAUGCGUCGAAGCGUGACAAAGAAAUGGCUGUCAAAGAGAAGGCCAAAAAUGCCAAUCUUCAAGCCAGAGGCGAGGGACAACAACCUUUGCCCGGCGGGGCGGCGGCUUCCUCAGAAAAAGAGAAAACUCUCUCACUCUCCUCUUUGACUGAACACUUGAGAUAGAUAUUGAUCAUAGAUAGGUACUCACAUUCACGGAAGUAAUGGUAAGGAAUCCCAGUAGUAUCUUCUCCCGGUGUAUGUGAAAGAGAAAAAGUGACGGGGCUCAUACUUCAGCGCUGCAGUGCUUGGUACUCGGACCUCGGCUCGAUGCAUUUUCUCUACCCCUUCUUACCCUGAAAAAGCAGGGUCACCUUGUGUCGUUUUUAUGAGAAGCGAGUUGUUCUAGGCUGGGCGGAUCCUGAUCUCUAAUACCGGUACUACGUCCUUGCCAAGAAUUACCAUAGGCCGGUCUUUCUUUGAAAUAGUCCUCUCACGCAUAUUCCUUUACUACCAAAGUAAUGCAUAUCCGGGGACCUUUUCAACAUACUUCUUUUCCUCUAUCAAAAAGCCAAUACCGACGCUCGCUUAUCAGCUUACCAGUUCAAACGGGUUUUAAAGUAGGUUCUACACAUUCGAGAAGACCCAGGCGGAUUGGAGUGGUUGUGCGCCGGGGCAAUCUCUGCUUGCAUUUCGCAUUGGAAUUUCAAGUACUAAGACAGGGGAGAGAUCUUUAUAAGGAAGGCUUGCAUCUGAAAAUAGUAGUAGUAGUCUAAGGAGUGAUUUGUACUGGAAAAACCUGCCAAUGGGAGCAUAGCUGGUCUUUAUUGUCCGCUCACUUCCUUCAAUCAAAGCAAGGGUUGUCUUUCCAGGAACUAGCAAACCAAACAAGCAGGCUAGCAAAACUAGGAUAAAGUUUGAUCCACCACUUACACUGGAAGGGCAAGAACUAAUGCUUAUGCGUAUUCUUCCACGGCAUAUAGAUGGUUAACUACUCCAACUCGAUGGCUGAGAGAAAAGUGAAAUCCUAGCUUGGAUAAGAAUCAUACGCUGCGAAUGAGCAGACGAAUCGACCGAGGGCUUACACACAAGAACAGAACCUAACUCUACUUCUUUUUCCUCCUUUCCUCUUUACUGCCCCCGCUAUACUAUCAACAGGUCAGUCAAUAUCGCAUCACAUCACCUAAAAGACUGAUAUCCAGCUCCAUAUAAUCCAACAAUUGGGCUCUAUUCUCCUGAAGAGAAGACACUUGAACUUCGUCAUGUGCUAUUGAGCCUUUUGAACCUAAGUGCGGACAUAAAGUCUUAGCCAAUGUUUCUAUACUAUUAGGGAGUAGAGUGUAUGAAUCUCGAUUUGACAUGACAGAGAGAGACUGUCAUCGCCAUCUCUUUGGACAUGCAUGUGUUAAGCAAAUGGACUGAACUGGUUUCUUCAGCCCUUUUUCUAUGUGUUGGUGUUCUAUAUGACCGACAUAAGACUCAACUUGUUAGAUAUUAUGGAGGUUUAGUGAGCACCAUGCCGAAUUUCUCUACCAUUUUCUUCUUUUUCACUUUAGCCAAUAUGAGUUUACCCGGCACUAGCAGCUUUAUUGGGGAAUUUCUAAUCUUAGUAGGAGCUUUCCAAAGAAAUAGCUUAGUAGCCACAUUAGCAGCGCUUGGGAUGAUUUUAGGCGCGGCGUAUUCCCUUUGGCUAUAUAAUCGUGUGGUUUCUGGAAAUUUAAAACCUGAUUUCCUCUAUAAAUUCUCCGAUCUAAAUGGCAGAGAAGUUUCCAUAUUUCUACCUCCAACAGACCGACAAGGAAUGAAGUCAACCUUAGAAAGUAGCCGAUGGGAGGUUUGAUCGGUUAAUGUGGAAAGACAACCCUUGCUUUGAUUGAAGGAAGUGAGCGGACAAUAAAGACCAGCUAUGCUCCCAUUGGCAGAAAUAAGGAUUGAUCGGGUAGUCCCGAUCGGUCCCGAUCAGUUAAUCCCGGAAGUCAUCUGCCACAAUGUCGGGAGCAUACCUCAUCAAGUUGUCGCAUUUCAUAUUGUAGUCCUGAACAGUACCACUCCCUUGUUUUAGGCUAACGAAUUGCUGUCGAAGCGCUUCCCGAGACAUCACAUCUAAAUACUGAUCAUUGAAUUCUCGCUCGAACCACGCCCAAGGAAUGGUUGGAUUUGAACCAUCAUUAUCUCCAUUAUGUCUCUUCUUUGCCUCCUGCCACCAAAAAGGAGAAAGUUUUCUCCCUUUUCACAUAACCGAGAAAAAAGGAAAAGUUACCCUACUACAUGUAUUAGCUAGUUUUGUCUAGUCAACAUCUAACGCUCAUUUCACUAUGGGAUUUAUUUACUCCGAUUGCUUCUACUCUCUUACAGCUGGGUGCGCCUAUAAGGAAGACUUUUCAUAGAUUGACUUUGGGCAGGCAAGUUGAACUAUCCGGCUUCCCUUAAAGUAUUCACUUUUCCAGGAGCCGACUUACCAGUUAGUACUGGCACUUUUACAGGAACAGUACCAGAGACUCAUCUCGUAAGAAGACAUUUUCAAUUAGACACUACUAGUCGAGGACUGCGAACUCAACUAGAUAUUCUGCACAUUCCAGUUUACCUUUUUAAAUCUUUUUUUAACUCCCCGAGCUACUACUCUGUAGAUUAACUAGUGUCUCCGAUUGCUUGGAUGAACAGAGCUCUCUUCUCUCCCAAUAUGUUUAUUUGACGGAGUCUAGUGCGUAUUCAUUUUCUUCAAGUCUUGGAUUCAAAAGGUUUUUUCCGGUGUAGGAUUCUUCCUACCCAACUUUGGCCAUUGAAGAAUGAGUCUUUGCUUUGUCCCCCGGGAUCCACCACAGGUUGGGUUUGAGAGCCGUGUGAUGGGUGACUAUCUAGCACGGUUCAGAGAGCACGUGUAUGUAGUCUGCGCUGGUGAAUACCACACGUGCAAGUUUCCCUGCAUGUGGCUCGUCCGUGAUAACUUCUUCGGAUUUGCCUGAACUAGCGGACCGAUCACUAAGUGGUUGCUUUCGCUGAUCGGCGCUAGUCUUUCCUGCUGUGAAUUUCCCAGGUCGAGAGGGGCCCUUUCCUUCUACCUUACUGAACCCAUUCACCAAUGAUUGGAGCCCUUUCACUAGUGGUUACUCCCGAUCCGAAGCACCCCUUUUCCAUUCAUAGAGAAAUCCAAUCGUCAAAAUCAAUAAAAAGGCCAUCAUGGACCAAGAUCCAAACAGAUCAAUCUUGUUAGGAGGUACUGCCCAAGGAAAAAAAAGGUGACUUCCUGAUCAGGGAUAAUAAAUAAAAUAGGAACCGGAUAAAAUCGUAUAUCGAAACGACUUCUGGCAUCACCGGAGGGAUUGAAACCACGUUCGUAGGCCGACAAUUUUUCUGGAUAGGUCGAACUAUUGGAAGCAAAUGGAAAAGGAACACCGAGUGGAAUCAAAGAAACUAGCGGACUGAUCACUAAAUAGAUACAAAUAGGUGCAAAUUCCGACAAAAAUGCACUUUCAUAGCCAUUUAUCGUGAUAGCGUAACUGCCAAAUCAUCCAAGUAAGGAAAUCGAUAAGCACGAAGAUUUCUCUCAAAGACGAGAAUAUCAUUCAGUCUUGAGAAAUGCAUGUGAAUGAGGAGCCGGUAUAAAUCGUAGGAACUCUUUGGAAGAACGAAUAACCACUGGGAUAAAAUGCCCCAAUGGAGCUUACGUUCUGAAUAUAUCCUCCUUGCUCGUAAGCAGGAAAGAUGAUAUUUCUCCAAACUGAAAUUAACAUAAGAUCAUUGGUUCACGAAGGGUAGAUUUCGCAGAUUUGACUGAACACAGAUAAACUAUAAACGAAAAUAGAGAACUGGAUGCGGUUAAGCAUACCACUUCGGAAAAGUGGAAAGGCACGGUGUUAAACCAUAGGCCUUUAACGGAACUCGAUCACUUAUUAGACCGAUAUAUGAACGGCAACCUCUUUAGCUUUUCCACUCCCUCACCACACCAACCACUGUGUGAUACUGAACACCCACACAAUCUCGAUUUAAAAGAGAGAGACUGUAAGGCUAGAAUUGGUUCACACAUAUGUGUGGGGGCCGGUCCAAUCACUCGGUAGAUCACGCUAUUAUGUCACCUUCAUUGAUGAUGCGACUCGGAAGGUAUCCAGCUGUUACGAACUAUCAGAUAGUCAAGAAUUGACAGGAAUGAAGGGAAUUGAUUUCAGGGAUCAGAUAAAGAGGGAAUUUAUGAAAUAAGAGUUACGAGAACAACUAGUCGAACGGAAGCAUUAGUUUCUCUACGAGAUGGAGAUGGCUCAUUCUCUAGUUUUCCUACGAGAUAUAAGUCAGUUUCUAACGUACUUUGAAGUUCAGGAAGGAGUUAUUAAUUAAGACGAAGAAGAACCCUCGCUUGGCUUUGUCCCGAACCAAGGAGGCAUGAUGGCGGGCGCGUGCGUGUGCCGACUGCAGAGACUACAAGCCGACGCCGGAAGCAUCGCUUUCUUUCUUCUCCCUCCAUUUUAUUCACUACUACCGCUUCUACACAUAAAUCAAAGAAGCAUUGUGGAAUAGUGGCAUUUCAUUAAUGUCGAAAAUGUUCUUAGUGAAAGGGUUGCCUUCCUUCUUUUCAAUAAGAAGAAGUAUUUGAAAUGAAACAAAUUCCUCUUCAUUCUGUUGUGCUCAGCGAAGGAACUGCGUAAGCAUACUUUUGCGGCACCAUUGGCCGAAGCAGACCUGGAAGCUGAUCUGCGAGUGAAUGAAAUUGAACGAUUAAUAUCGCCUUUCAUGCUAAAAUCGGACGAUUUCGACCUUACGUUCACGAUACUCCUUCCUGUCCUUGCGAUGUUUGGUUAAGUGUUAUCAAUCAGCUUUACUCUUCUUCCAGCAUUCUUCUAAGGUUUGCCUCUAACGAUGGUUGAAUAGCUCCUGUUGUUUUUAUUCCAUUGAAUUGAUUUCAUGAACUUCCCUCAAGCUGAAACCGGAACGGGAUUGUCAUUUAGCUUCAAUUUCUUCAGUCUCACAAGCGGGUCCGCAUGCAACAAAAGAAAUUGUAUUUGCCUACUACUCCGACCUCAGGAAUGCAAGCAAGCGAGGCCAGAACAAGGAGUGUCAAGAAAAACAGUAGCCGUUUACUCACAAGCUAACACGAAGCACGAAACACAUGGAUUCUCUGAGAACCGGACUGACCCAACCAAGCAAUCACUUGAGCCAUUCACACCUUGGAAGAGCUAUUCAAAGGUUUUCUGGCUGACUAUGAGGACACCUCUGCAUCCCAGGAGCAGACCGCUCCCCCGGAAUCUGUGGUCAGUCAAGAGCGGCAUCCGAAUCCCGCUCCGAUUCAACCUUGACCCCAGGGAUCUCCUCUCCCCAACUACACUAGGCUCAAGGUGGAAUAACGAAAGGAGGGUGCGUGCGAUAGCUAACCGAUUGAAGGAAAUUCCUCGCCUAUCUUAUUCUUUUUCAGUUCCGAUCAUCAUUAUACGAUCCAAGUCGUGGAAAAGCCGAGUGGGAAAGCCGAAACCGAGGUAACUUAGGCGUAGGUCAAAGCACGGGCAUGGAAAAGGGAUUAUAUGGCGUGCUGGGCUGGAUGAAAGAAGCAACUACGCCCCUGGUACAUUUCAACGCCCAUGAAUUCUAUAUUUCAGCAGUAUCUGAGGCCAUAGCUCUCAACUCAGCUUCAGCACUCGAGCGGGACACUGCAGUCUGCUUCUUGGUUUUCCAAAGGUCCGGAGGAGCGGAAGAGUUUAUAGUCGAGAAGGGUCGGGCAUUAGCAAAUCCUUCAAUCCCAACUCUUGAAAAGAAGCAUUUCCUCCUGAUUGUCCACCUUUUCGGAGAAAGAAGCACAUCACUUAUACGAGAUUCUGAAAUGAUUGUUAUCUCUAGGCACAUCUUAUGGGCGGAUGUUGCUCCUCGGAAAACGCGUAUAGUAGUCUCAUUGGCCUUCGUCGAUGGGACAAACGCUCCAGUGUAUGCGUUACAAGGCAACUAGCAUGUUGGAUUAGAAGUUCGUGAAAGUAUGUUCUCAUUUUUCGUUGGAACAACCAACCAUUUUCUUCUCCAAGUUGAGGUUCAGGGUUCGGCGGGGUGUGGCUUGUGGAUGGCUCUCCCCGAUCUGGAACAGCCCCGAAUACGUGUUCCAGGGGAACUUCCGGAAUUGAAUAAGGGUCAAAACGGGGCUGUUCCCCUUGCGGCACCUCUCAGUUCGGAUUGUUCUCUGCAACUCGGGAACAUGAAGUUGAAAUCGCUAGUAAUCGCGGAUCAGCAUGCCGCGGUGAAUAUGUACCCGGGCCCUUCCUUUGUUCCUCUUCCUUCUGCGCAGAUACUUUUGAUCCACUCCUUUCCUAUACCGCGCCCUCUGCCUAUUACGGUCGAUACCCAGAAAGUUGCCGACUACUUUUUUUCAUAAGGGGGGAAGCGAAGCUUAGUGAGCUUAGAGCGAUUUCCUCACAAAAAAAGCACGAGCGAGAUAUUCAUCCUUAACAGGGAUCUCAAUUGCGGGAAGAAGAUUUUUUCUUCAGGAUGGAGCGCAUCAGAUAUUAACAUUUUUGGAUUACUUUUUUCGGGGUUAAUCUGACCUUCUUUCCCAUGCAUUUCUUAGGGCUUUCGGGCAUGCCACAUCGCAUUCCAGAUUAUCCAGAUGCUUACGCCGGAUGGAAUGCUCUGAGCACUCUCAACGGAUCCUCCACGCGCUGCGCUGGGCAUACCAUAGUUCUUCCGUGCGUCUUUAUCGUGGCGGAAACAGAACAAGAGGGAAAGACCCGGCUGGCUCAUUCCAUUGAUAAGCUCAUCGGGCUGCUCGUCGUUAGGAAGAGAAAGUCCUACUGCUGUAACCGCAACAUCAAGCAAGUAGGAUCGGGAUUCAGAUGUUCAAUAAAUAGGUUUGUUAGAAGAGACAGGAAUUUAUUCUUUAUUAGUGCAUGCCUUUUUUUUUGUGAUUCGAGCAGUUCUUGUCACGAGAUGAUGGGCCAGAGAAAAGUUUGAUAGGAAAGGAAGGUGGGGCACUUCGUUGCUGGGCUGGAAUAGAAACUGACGUAUGGAGGACUUGUGAGAUCUUUCACUCUUCGACAACGAAAGCCUUGAGGACGUCAGCGAUGUGUUAUAGGGACGUCAACGAAAGCUAGUAGGGAACUGCAACCAGAGAGAGAGUUCUAGUGAGUCCAGACUCUUUCUUUCGUUCAUCAAAGCGAAGCAUGGCUGCAAUCCCAAACUCAUCCUUUUUUCCGCGAGCAAUCUACGUUUGUGAUCUCGUAUAUUUCGCUUCUCCGACAUCUUACUUAGUUUCCCCCUCAUAUUUUAGCAAAAAGCCGCUCCACAGUAGUAAAGUCUCAUCUUUUGUAUUGGCCGAAGUGACAAUAGUCACAUUACAAAGCAGAGCCCUCGUGAAUACACGUACCAUUAAUGAAGGAACAGCUAGUACUAAUUAUAUGAGGGAAUACUAAUUAUCUAUUCUUAUGUAUUCUCUCACAAUCACUCCUAGCAAUAAGUGAAAAGGCGGCUAUCGAUACUGUCCCAACAACCUCCUCUCAAUUGAUCCCUCGUUACUGCCCAUAGGAGAAGUAAUAGGUAGGGAUGACAGGAUUUGAACCCGUGACAUUUUGUACCCAAAACAAACGCGCUACCAAGCUGCGCUACACUCGUGAAGGUAAUGAAAUUAUCCGAUCAGCUUGCAAAUGGAGUCCUGAACUAGCCAGGUCUCGUUCUUAUAUGCUACCUAGAAUUAUUUAGAACUUAAAUCUUUAAGCAUGUGCUUAGUCAAGGAGGAAACUACUAAAGAACAAAGAAGUCGUCUUUGGUCAGUGAACCAACUUUUGCCGAGCCCCAUUGCCAACUCUAAAUUACAUUCAUUUCACCAGUCCGCCAAUCCAAUUAGGAUUCCCAUCGGUUGCAUCGCUCCUGCUCGCAGUAGUCGUUUCUUCUCCGGUGAAUCAAUUUCUUCUAAACAGAAUAAGGGCGGCAUCCUGCUCUCGACUAUCUCUGCCGCGGAAUGGGAUCGCUUGCCAGCUAGGCCCUCUAGAAAAAAGUUGGAGCAACAUUGUAUGAACUCUCGGGUUUGGAACAGAUAAGUUCUGUACGGAUAACAAAGAAUAGAAAUUGGAGAGCAGGUGCCCUUCCCUGGUUGUUACCUUCCCAGCCCCAAAGGAAAAGCCCUGAUCAUUUGAAAAAAAAGAAGCCAUGCAUGCCGACACGUUUUAACAGAUCAGUAGCAUACUUCUCUUGAGUCAAGAUAAUUCCAUCAUGAACUUUAUUAACUUCUAUGCCCAAGAAAUAGUGCAACGCACCAAGAUCCUUAAGGGCAAAUUCUUCUUUCAAAUCUUGAAGUAAUGCCGAAGUUGCUUUUUCACAAGAACUAGCAACAAUGAUGUCAUCAACAUAUAUCAACACAAAUAUGGAGAUUGUACCUUUCUUGUAAAAGAAGAGCGAAGCAUCUGCUUUUGACGGUUGAAAUCCAAGCCUAGCUCGUUAUUCUUUGAGAUAUGGAUAGAGUCUCGCUUCGGGGCGGGGGAAGCAGCAAGCGUAGGCUAAAAAGAGGUGGGUCGGUUUAGUCAUCAGCUCAAGAGGACAGGGGAGAGAUAGGAGACAAAAAGAGGCAAAGUGAGGCCCGCCCAAGCAAGUGGUUUGUUUUUGAGAGAGAAGUGUUUUCUUUGGAAAAGAAGAGCUCUUUCUAAGUUGACUUGCUCUGUUCGUCCGCUGUCAGAUCAAAACGGGUAGGGAUCGGCCCAGCCUAGAACAACUCGCUUCUCAUAAAAACGAAUCCCUUUGUGCCUGGAAGAAAUGCAAAGGGGAAUGCUGGGUCAGAGCCAAAGAAUGUGAACUAUACAAGUUCACAAUACCCUUUGAUGAAAUGAAAGAAAGGGUUCCGGUGUAUAGAGAGGGCCUGCGGACGGCUGUCCGAAGUGCAUGCAAUGACGGGCUCGGAUAGGAUAGGGUUGUGCGUGCCGGGCCCUUCGGGUGUCCAUAUUUUGGCCGACCCAUCCUAGUCUUUUGCGACACAGCUGGUUUACUUAUUUUGUUAGGUCUCGACUUCUCCGCUAUGAUCUCCCCAGUAGUUCAUAUAGGAGCUAUUGCCGUUUCAUUCCUAAGCAAGCUGGAGCACCUUUCACUCUCGGGCAUAAAGGCUUUUAUCCAAUUCAUUCACAGGAAGGGUAGAAGGAGCUUCAAAGCUUUUAGCCGGCGUUGGAGCUCAGACGGUGCAGUUAGUAUUGACCACUACCGCCAAGUCCAUAAUUAAAAAAUUGAUGAAGUCCACAUAAUGGAGCUCAAAAGCCGAUUAAAAAAUCUACUUUUUGAGCAUCUUGAAACCGCACAUAAAAAAUAUUAUGAAUGAAUCACCUUACAAUAACAUACGAGAGACAGCUUUCGAUUUUUUCGAACAACAAGUCGAACCCAAUGAACAAUUCCAUUCAAAGGAAUGUUCUAGAGGGGGCCCUUUUCCGCUAUAUUCGCGAUAUUGAACAAAAUGGAAGAAAUUCUUCACGAUUUCUAGAGUUCCGGGAUUACUUCACGGAAGAUCGGGUUAAAAAAUUCUAAAGCUUUCGUCUCAAUUCAUAUUUAGCCGCGAGCAAUCUACGUUUGUGAUCUCGUAUAUUUCGCUUCUCCGACAUCUUACUUAGUUUCCCCCUCAUCUUUUAGCAAAAAGCCGCUCCACAGUAGUAAAGUCUCAUCUUUUGAAUUGGCCGAAGUGACAAUAGUCACAUUGAACCCUCGAAUAUGCUCGAAGAUCUCGAAAUGAUCUUCCAGUUCCGGGGAGAAUUCGCAAAACUCCGUUUCCAUAAAGAAUGCUAAAUGACAAUCUGAACCUACUUGCUUACAGGAUCUUUAAGAAAACUGUGGACUUUUGCACCUUUCUGUCUAGCUUGAGUUAUCUUUUAGUUCUCUCCCCUCGGCAAAGUGGAUAGGAAAGAGUCUUGCAGGUUGAUCAACAAGUAAAUCCUCCCGGAUAUGAAAAGACAAGAUCAAUAUGUCAGCUAGCUUACUAAUACGGCAGCUGCUUAAACUCAUGCUGUACCUACAUAUCUCAUUUGGCUAUCCUUACCUAUUGGCUAUCCCAGGUGACCUUACACCUAAUGGACUAAUGCCAAGCUUGAAACUCCUAUGUAGAGGGAGCUAUCUCGCCUAUGUUUACGUUGCAAUGCUACUCCUCUGUUCUGUUUCUAGUGCGGUUAUGUGUAUUACAAGUUUUAAUAAGAGCGCACUACUCAUCCCAUGGGAGAUGGAGCCAUAGAGAAAUCCAAUCGUCAAAAUCAAUAAAAAGGCCAUCAUGGACCAAGAUCCAAACAGAUCAAUCUUGUUAGGAGGUACUGCCCAAGGAAAAAAAAAGGUGACGUUAUGGUAUUGACUACGAAGAGACUUUCAGUCCUGUAGUCAAGGCGGCCACAAUUAGACUAAUAUUGUCACUAGCAGUCGAUGACAUAGAUAGAGCCUCCUUCUUUGAUCCAUUCAUUGAUAACAAUCAAUAAACAUCUUCAACCAAUCCAAUACAAAUACUGAAAAAGAAGCAGUCUACCAACUUUUCUUUCACAAGGCCGCAGGCGCAAGGGAUGAGCGUGAAAUCCGUUGCUUGUUCUUUCGGUAGCCUUCUUUCAUUUCCGAAUUAGCUUGCGAGCAGUCCUUGCAUUAGUAUGAGUUCGUUGACCGCAUAAGGGCGAACAAAACGGAAUGUACCGGAUUUUUAGCACGUACAACCAUCAAACCAGAGACCAAAGCAGGGCUCGACAAAACUGAAAGUAUCAUGGUACGUCGUCCUCCCUUGAAAUGGAACUUGAAUGCUGGAGCAAGAAGACGCAUUCAAGUCGAUCUUAUUGCAUCACCCACACCUAAUUACAACAGUUGAAUGCUGUAUUUGCAUUUUGAUAUUGUACAUAGCUAUUUACUUCUAUUAUAAAUGUACCCUUGGUCGGAACUAGUUUUUUCGCUUUUUUAGCCGAUUUUUUACCUUUUUUGGACCCAUUCUAUAAAUGGAUGGAAGAAAUUAAACCAAUUCUUUCCCGCCAUAGGCGAAAAGUACUAAUUUUUAAUUCGCCUAAGGAAUUGGCAUUUUUCCGGGUUGUUUUAAAAAACAUUUGUUCCAGCCAUAGCGAAAAGUACUGAAAAUUCACUUUCCCUCGUAAAAAGGAAAAAACUGGGUGCAGAAAAAGGAAACUUUCUGUCCAGUCUGUGGCAAAAGUAAUACUUUUUCCAUUUUCCUUCGCGAUCGACCUUUCGGAUUUUAUAAACUAAGGAACCUGGUGAAAAAAGCAACCCUAUUAUUCCUGAGCAAAAGAAAGCUUACUACAGCACGGUCUUACGUCCAGGAUUGGAACAUUCCAUCUCUUCUUGUCCACUGGUAUAGAAAGAAUAUGCAUUUUCUUGACUGCUUAUUCAACGCCCUGCCGACUUGGAUACUGCUGGCUCUCUUGCAUUACGUGAUAGAAAUGAAAUGACAGAAGAACAAAGCAAGGGCUUUCAAUGCGCGAAAUCCGUUUCGAGUUAGAGUGCGAAACUUCUUGCUGCAGCCGUUUUAUUCGCUGCCAAUUGCACAUCAGGAGAAGAUGUCACUACAGAUCCUGCAACCUCAAGAGGGAGCAGCCUGUCCGUCCUAUUUAAAAGACUUUGGAUUUUUUUCUCCGGGGAUCGAGGUCUCAUUAGCCGAAGAAGACCCAGGCCAAUCCACGUGGCCUCUUUGACCAACGUCAGCGACAGAGACAUAGUAAAUUGGUCCGCGGGCAUCGCGAUAAGUCCUCUGUCCUACUACAGGUGCUGCGACAACCUUUACCAAGUCCAAACGAUUGUCAACUACCAGAUCCGCUGGUCCGCUAUAUUCACCCUAGCCAGCUAUCUCCUUUAUGAGUUUCUUCCUUUCUGAAAGUCACCACAGUGGAGAGUUACUAUCGACUUUCUCCAUGUGCCACUCGCCAGGGUUGAGUUGAGGGGGCAGCCCGUGCGCUAAUUGGGCUUCGAGGUUGGCUAUACGCGAAAAAAGCUCGCUUUCUACUGAGCUGUCCUAAACUGUUCCAGAAUGUUAUUUGUUUCAUAGGAAGAUUCCAAAAGCACAUUGUGAUGCCGAAAGAAUCUUCGUCGCCCUCAUUCCGUAGUUGAGUUCUUUCGCAUUUCUCGUAUAGUUUUUCGUGGAUUAGCAUCUCGAGGUUCUUUGAUGGGCAUAAAGAAAUUGUCUUGCUAGCAACCACCAAACCAAUAGAACAAAGGUUAGCUCUGCAGCUAGUCCACAUCUAUUUGUGCAUUCAAUGCUGCCAUUCCCCCGGCCCCAAAGGACAAGAUUGAGUCGCCGCUAUCACUUUUUUUGGGGGGCCAAUCCCGCGAAGAGUUAUGGAAAGAUUUUAUAGCUCGUCACAAGAAAGGAUUGAUGGUCGAGUCCCCGUGCAUGAAGUCAGUGGAUUCGAGUGAACUGACCGUACUACAAAUCGACAUACUUGAGGAAGCUUCUUACUAAACCAAAGAAAGGGCAGCUCCAGUUGUAUUGUCGAUUCCCUUCUCCCGAGAGCUUUCACACUCUGGGAUGGGAGUCCCUUCCAAGACUUGACCAAAAGCUUAUCUCUUGAAUCUAAAUUUAACAUUUUCCAAAACGCGGCUAGACCGAGGCAGAGCAAGAAUCGAGUUCCGUUAAAGGCCUAUGGUUUAACACCAUGCCUUUCCACUUUUCCGAAGUGGUAUGCUUAACCGCAUCCAGUUCUCUAUUUUCGUUUAUAGUUUAUCUGUGUUCAGUCAAAUCUGCGAACUCGACUAGAUAUUCUGCACAGGCCCUGGUGGGUUCUCCAUAGCGGAAGCAACCUCUGGGCCUUCCACAAAAAAAAACGAAAACAAACCAGAGAAGGAUCCAAUUAGAGUAGAGGAAAAAGCCUCCCUCCUCCUUCUGACAAUAUAAAGUCCCAAAAAAAUGAGGGAAAUAAAAAUAAAAAUAAGGUAAGGUCUAUCGGUCCACAAACUGCAGCCCAGGACGGGCGUCGUCAUCUAGGCGUGACUUCUUGUUUUGAUCUCCCCUACGCCUAGGACGUAGUCUGGGCCAAGAGCCAUAGUUAGUUGCUGUUUCCAUUUGGUUCUUCUUUCUCGUUGUUGAUACCGGCAAGACCCGAAUAGAAGAAGAGCAGUCGUCAAUUGAUUGAAAGUGGAUUGACGGCAUUCAUCAGUUGAUUGAAAAUGGACUUUUCUUUUAUGAUCGAGCGAGGUCCGUUUUUGGGCUUAAAAGUCCUUGUAAGCUUAUGCCUCAUCAUGGUUGGGAAGGUUAUAGUAGCUUCAGUCAUUGGAAUUACUCUAUUUCUAUAUAUAGGCCUUAUCCUUUUUGUUAUUGCGUUAUGGUAGAGGGAAAGAGAAAAGAAAGAAGAGAAAUUGGGCCAUGUUUCCCGAGAGAGACUGCCUUCUCUCAGGCCAGCAGUCUUAUACUUAUAGUCGACUGCUCUAUGACGAUCUGACCUCUUUCCUGGGCUCUGCUCGCUCGUCUACGCUCCUACCAAUUCAAGAGCAAUUCAAAUGCUUUGAUUGCUUAUCAGAUAAGAGGUAAAAAUAUUCUUCAUUCAUUUAUUUUUUUAAUGCCAAAUUUCAUUCAAAUCCAUUCUUAAAAAGGCAUAGUAGAGAAAGGCGGACCAGGCAAUCUCUGAGUUGAAAUCGAUCCCAGACAUCCAUCUCUUUCAAAAAGUUCUAAAGGCCGACUACUACAGGGUGCGUGCGCUGGGACUGAUCGGGACGACCUUGUCGGUCCUCACAUUCACGGAAUGAAGUCAACCUUAGAAAGUAGCCGAUCGGGACGAUCAUGCGUCUCAAGAGGAGAAGCAUGGACUGUUGCUAGCGCUCAUAAAUAUCCUUAUGACCCCUGAAGAUGGAGUUGUUUAGUGAAAAAAGGCCCAGCAGAGAGAACAGUCAAGAUAACUAGCGCGGAGUCCGCUUGGCAGGCGGCAGGAGCUGCGGGCAAGUGCUUGCUUGGUAGGCCAACAGCCCUGUGAACCGGGCGGGGCACCUCCGGUUAUAGAUGCCCUAACAAAACUUCAUAAGAAGAUAUCGCGAGAAAUAGUUGAGGAUCGAACUCUAUCUCAAAAGAGAAAUCGAUGUUUUACUACCAGUCACAAGCUUUAUGUUCGGCACAGUACUCAUACUGGAACUUACGAGCAAGAAUUGCGGAUAAGGGAAAGCCCGCUAUAUUAUAUAUAGUAAUCACCUGCCAAAAGGAAAGCCUGACCGAUAAUAAUAAUAGGUCUAUGCGCCGAACAAGCAAUGGUAUAUUAGAGAUAGUAAGGAGUUGUAUACACGGGGGUAUGCAUUCAUGUCACGCUUUCUGUGUGAUAAGAGGUUGCUAGCUAGCAAGUAUAGAAACAGGAGAUAUGCGUAGUUAACAGAAGCAAGGGAAUAUGCGUGAGUUGAUUUGAUAGUUUUUUUGAGAAAAAGCAAUUUCAUGAAGUUGGCCUUAGGUGUAAUAGGACUCCCAGUUACUGCGCGCGAUCGUAUACUGAGGUGCUCCCCGUCGGUUGUUGGAACGACGCGAGCCCCAAAAUAAUGUGACUUGGUCCCAAGGUAGAAAGUGAAGAACACUGAACAGAGCUGAAGCUGCAUGAUUAUGAAAUCCCCCAGGGCGCUUCUGAAGCCUCUUUCUAGUCCAAUCCCCCCACAUCGCGUAUAAAGGGAAUCGAACCCAACUCUUCCACUUGCCGCCAAUGCGGAAGGAUGCCACCAAAAAGAAAGGAGACUGAUCUUAACGUUGGCGUCGGUUUUUCCAAGAAAAGUUAGAUUUGAUUUGUCUUUUUCAUGCGGAACAGAACCGUAUUAGUAAGCGGGCCAGUUAACAGAAGCAAGGGAAUAUGCGUGAGUUGAUUUGAUAGUUUUUUUGAGAAAAAGCAAUUUCAUCUCAAGGGAAAGAUCAGAGGAGGAGAAGAAUGAAGGUGUGGGCGGGAAGGAGGAGGCAAGGCCCCCUCAAUGUUUAUUCGACUACUCAUUACGGAACCACCGAUUGAUCCGAUUAGACUUUCCGUGGUAUGUUGAGUUCUUGAAGCAUUGCCGAUAUCGAUAUAUAUUUCUUUGCAUGGGACAGUAGCCUUUUCUGCGGCGGAACAAGCUAAGAAGUGCAGGCGGCUCUUAUUUGAUAAGAUAAGGCAGAUGGUAUGAUCAAAUUCACUCUUGCGCUUUUUUUUGUAUUGAACGCAUGGCGUAGCUAGGACCCCUCCAAUCAUGUUUGAGCCUAUGUUCACCCGGGGUCCAAAAAGGAGAAUUCCGGAAUGCCUGCCGACGUUCAGAUAAAGUGCAUAUCCCUUACUACUAAAGGAAAGGCUCGACGAAGGGGGGGGAUUUUCCGGGUAAGGAAAAUGCUUUCGGAGAUUGAGAUGUCGAUUUGUUUUUCAUCGAAAAGGAAGAAGGCCGAGGGGAUAGCUGCCUUCCUUCGGGCUUUGCCUGCCGACAUUCUAAUAAAGAAUUCCGGCUCGGCCCGGGAAAGCGCUGGCAACAACAUAAAGAAAGGGGUCCAUGUAGCUGCUGCGCCCGCCCACUGAGCAGCAGGUUCGGCAUCUACUACAAAAGAGAGAAUCCACUUCAGAUAACCACGCCUCUGCUAGGCAGCGUGUGGAAUGGCCGGGAGCGGACCAAAUGGAUAUAUAAUCCAAGCCGAGAGUGGAGUUACGUGAACAGCCGUCUGAUGGAAAACAACUUUCGACUAGGAAAAUGAAGACAAAGGAAUUUGGAAUUACAAGACGGAUAUCAGCUUGCUACUUCUGACUUUGACUUUCAAUAGGGAGGUCAAAAACUAGCACUUUUUUCGAGGAGUGAUCAUGGUUGAUGUCUACUUGCCGGGCUGCCCACCUAAACCGGAGGCGGUUAUAGAUGCCCUAACAAAACUUCAUAAGAAGAUAUCGCGAGAAAUAGUUGAGGAUCGAACUCUAUCUCAAAAGAGAAAUCGAUGUUUUACUACUAGUCACAAGCUUUAUGUUCGGCGCAGUACUCAUACUGGAACUUACGAGCAAGAAUUGCUCUAUCAAUCACCAUCUACUUUAGACAUAUCUUCUUCAACUUUUUGAAAAUCCAAAAGUCCAGUAUCUUCCUACAAAUUAGUGAAUUUGCAGCAUUCUGAAUUCAUAAUUCGAACUGAUCAGCACAGUCUCGUGCAUUUAGAAGAUCAACGACUACACCUUGGCAGCAGAAGGCCUUCACUAAGUUUCUUGGACUUCAAUACCGACGCAAGGGAGCCAAGAAUGGAGCAGCUGAUGCUUUGUCCCGACGCAGCCAUAGAGUCGAUCUUGCAGAUAGGCGGAGGUAUGAUUGCUUGCUCCUUGCAUGUGAAGGUGGGAAACAAGGAAACAGCAGAAAUGCUUACUGGGACAUAGCCUUCGGUACGAGUUGAAGGGAAGAGGAUUGCUUGGAACCUCUAAGACAUGGCACCCCUGCCCCUUCCCGGCUACUGGAUCACUCCAGUGCUUCGGGUACUACGGACCCUCUGCCAUCCAUUGCAGCAGAGCCGUUUCAUGAGCGGGGGGGCUAAGCGCAGUUCUUUGAAUCAAAGGUUUUAUGAAAUCGAAAUUGAUUCUUUUUUAGAUAUCUGGAUAGAUGGAUGGGGCCUGGGAGUGAAUGUGGAAGCUUAACACUAGCAACGGGCAGAACAGUUGGUAAAGGAGAUCAUUGGCACUAUGGCGCAUGUAUGUUGAGUUCUUGAAGCAUUGCCGAUAUCGAUAUAUAUUUCUUUGCAUGGGACAGUAGCCUUUUCUGCGGCGGAUCGUUUCCUUUUCUCCAAUCAUAAAUAACCUGAUCUCUUUCUUUGUCUUUCAUCAAAUAAGUACAAGAAUUGCAUAGAUGAGGAUUCGGUAUUGAUCGCUAAAAUGCGAGAAAAAGACCCACGUUUCUCUGUUCGUCCGCUAUCAGAUCAAAACGGGUAGAAGCAGCUUGUUCUUUCGCGCUAGUGCGCUCAAUCCGUUGCUUGUUCCUUUCCUUUGGAUUUAUUAUCAUAAUAGCGUAGACAAAAGGUAGGACCAGAUCAUGCGAAGAACUCUUCGCCCUAUUGAUUAGGAAUCUCGAUUAGAAACCACCAGGCCAUGUCUCCCGAUAAAAGAUGAUCCCCACAAUGGAUGUCAGGCCUUGGCUUCAUAAAAUCUGAUUGGAUCCGCACUAGAGGAUAAGAAUACAGAUAGGCUGACUUAGAAGAUCUUAAAAUUGGCGUAGACAAAAGGUAGGACCAGAUCAUGCGAAGAACUCUUCGCCCUAUUGAUUAGGAAUCUCGAUCAGAAACCACCAGCCUCGAAUGGAGCAUUACGAGUGCAUGAUUGAGUUGUUUAGUAAGCAUGGUUGAUUUUUAAUCAUUUUUUUCCACCUUAAGGGCCCCAGAAACUUCUAGUUAUUCUCCAGUAGGAAAGGUUCUAGUGACAUUGCUGCUAUUGCUGGAAGUCCCGCAGCUUACUGCUCACGGAAACAUCCGACCUUAUGGUCAAGUCGUCCGCCUAUCUUUCUGAUCUCAUUCGUUUGUAGAUCGCAUAAAAAGCUCUUCGUUGUCUGAGAGGGCAGAAGGCAUCAGACUUGUAGUCUAAAUGCUGUGUAUCUGACAUACUUCAUUCUCUGUGCAGGGUACGAUUUCACUAUGGACAUCCUGAUGUGUUCGACAGGAUUUUUAUCUGGUGACUCCCUUCCCCCUUUUUUCCCAGAAUGAAUUCGCCCGACGCGACGAAUCCUGCCCUCCUGUCUUUCUUUCUCAUUGGCCCCGCUGCCGCUACUGCUCGAAAGCAUGACAGCUCCGCUUCCUCGUCUUGCUUCUACUUUGCUUGUUUGCGCGAAGGCUUAGAGUCCUUUUCGCUAGGUCCAAAUUCGUCAAAGUCGCCACGACGACUCUCCGUCGUGGAAUUAGACCAAGGGUCGAAGACCUAUACCAUAGGACCCCGUCCGAUUUCAGAGCCCACUUUAUUAAAAACUUCGAUUUGAAGCCGAGAACCCACCUAAAAACAAUCAUUUGACUAAAAAAUUCGUUGGAUAGGUGCAUCACGAAAUCGGUACUCAAUCCCUUGCUUGUUCGUGGGAUGGGAGUAUCUCCUAUUAGCGAUGCUCAGAUUUCAAUGGAAGGAAGAUAGUUAUUCCAAUCACUUUUCUCGAUAGGCAGGGCGGGACUCAAGAAACCUGCGUACGGCAGGGCUAGGUUACCAGCGUACGGGCAAGAGAAAUUUUAUCUUCUCGUCAGGUCAUUAGAGGCUCCUCUGGAGGCCAUACAAGAAGGAUCCUUAAUUCAUUGCAAGGCAUUCUCCAAUCCCCAUUCACACUCUCCUUAUUCAUACAUCAGUUCAGCUACAACAAAGAAGAUAUCCUCCCAUUGGUUAGUUGGCUCCCUGUAUGGUUGGUACCUGCUUUCCCGUAAGUCUGUACGGAGAAUCAAUAAAGGCAUCCGCAGUGGAAUCAAACUCAUAAGGGACAGGAUCACCACCAUUCGGUAGACCAAACACCCUAUGAACACUGCCGGCAUGAGAUAUGAGUCGUUAGAGCACAUAUCUCCGUGAUCCCUUCCACAGCUAAACGUAGAUCUCUAUCUUGUAGUGGAGUGUAGAGUAAAGAUAUACCGGAGCGGAGUGCAAGAAGGUUAUAGGGGAGUGUGGCGCCCGCUUGCCCGCCUUUCGUCUCGGUUGAAAAACAAAACCGUUGCUUGCUUUGUGGCCCUAUCGCUUAAGGUUCCUUUUGAGUACGAUCAUAUUAGUGAGAUGAGGCAUAUCUAGAUCCAUCUGAAUCGAACACCCAAACUCAUACCUAGAUUAUAGGAGAGAUCGACAUCUAUAUCAGGGUACACCCAUCUUUCCAAUCAAUUAAAGAAUCGGUGGGUACUAGACUAGAGCCAGGAAUCGAAAGAGAAAUAAAUCGGGAACUUCAGUACUGCAGGCUGAGGACAGUGGUUAAAGAGAGUCAGGGAAUUAUUGGUAGCAUCAAGUUUUUUCUUCUAAUUUCUACUAUUUCUUCCAGGAUCAAAAAUAUUUUACUUGGUUGAGCUUUGUCAACAGAUUGGCAGUGAAAUAGAAACUUUUCUAUGGUGAAAUAUUAGAGAAUAACUAUAUAAAAUAAAAAAUAUCUCUUUGAGAUUUCCCCGCUGGCGCUCGCUCAAUCCGUUCACCAGGGUUCCUUUCCUUUCCUUUACGGUCGAGCUACUUCUCGUUCAUCAUCAAGUGGUUUCAAUUAUAAGAAUAAUUAUACUAGUGAACUAACAAUUUGGCUUUUCAAAGUUCGUUUAAGAAAAUGCAAUGAAAUGUUUAGCAUCUAGUUUAGUGGGUGCUUGCCUAUGGUUCCAUUUAUUAAUUAAUCAAACCAUUUCCUUUUCAUGCCAUCCAUCGAAUUUAAACUUUAUCGUUAUCAUUGGCUGGAAUGAGAAUAGCUGCAGGAUCCAGAUCACCAUUUGUUGUAUCAUAGUUGGAAUGGCUAAAAUAAGACAUUCUUGAAGAGCUAUAUAUUAUUUUUGCUGAUCAAUGAUGAGCACAAUAUCAGGUAACCCUUUUGGAAUGAAAAACUAUGACUUCGUAGUUUUCGUUAGUAGAAACCUAAUUCAUUAAAAUUCCGUCCAGUAAAACGGAAGAAUUAUAAAUUUCUAAAAUAAUAGAUAGGAAUACCGCGAAUAAAGCCAUUGCGACCCCCAUAAAAGGAGUAGUCCCCCAACCCGGAGCUACUUUCCCAUAUUCCGAAUUAAUUGAUCAUAACGAUAUCGUGGAAAUGCUGCACGGACCCAUAUAUAUAGAAACAGAAAAAGAAGAACCUUGAUACUAAACCAGAUCGAACAAGGGAUCUUCUUGGAAAUGGGAAGAUCUAGGAUAGGCGGCCAACCUCCUAGAAAGAGCGAUGUGCAUAGACCGGGUGAGUAGGGAUGCAGCUCCGUGGACCGCUCGUCGGGCCUGAUAGGUGGUGGUAUCACACCCUUCUCCAAGGAACCGUACGUGAGACUCUCGCCUCAUACGGCUGCGUCCUGGAAUCUGGACAGUUUUGUCUUUUGUGCCGAAGCUAUUUAUAAAGCACAGGCCGAAACCGGUGAAAUUAAGGGGCAUUACUUGAAUGCGACUGCAGGUACAUGCGAAGAAAUGAUUAAGAGAGCUGUAUUUGCGAGGGAAUUAGGGGUUCCUAUUGUAAUGCAUGACUACUUAACCGGGGGAUUCACCGCAAAUACUAGUUUGGCUCAUUAUUGCCGCGACAACGGCCUACUUCUUCACAUUCACCGAGCAAUGCAUGCAGUUAUUGAUAGACAGAAUAAUCAUGGUAUGCAUUUCCGUGUAUUAGCUAAAGCAUUGCGUAUGUCUGGGGGAGAUCAUAUCCACGCUGGUACAGUAGUAGGUAAGUUAGAAGGGGAACGCGAAAUGACUUUAGGUUUUGUUGAUUUAUUGCGCGAUGAUUUUAUUGAAAAGAUCGUGCUCGCGGUAUCUUUUUCACUCAGGACUGGGUAUCCAUGCCACGAAGCAGCUUCUCUAAUAACCCCGUUGAAUAGGAGGGCGAAGGCUUUUUCGAACUUAUUUAUAGAGGGGGGCUUCGACCUUCUUAGGAAGAGCCGUACGAGGCUGCUCACAUACGGUUCGGGAGCCGAGCCACGAGUCCAAUUUGAAGUUGUUGAUGUUUAUAUUGGUCAAUCAUAAAAUAGAAAUAAGAAAAGAAUUUAUAUUUAUUCUGAUCAAACUUCUUCCCUAUUAACCUGGAAGUUCUUCUGAGAUACAAGGAAAUGGUUCGUUUUUUUGCUUUUUAGCAGUAAUCAGAAAGUUAGCUCUUUUUCCAGACCAGUGGCCUUGGAGUUCAUCCCCGUCCUCUGCCAGGUGAGAAGGAAGAUGAGAGAUAUGUUCCUUAGAAGUCGUCUUCAACUUUCUUCCAGGAAAGCCUUUCACCGAGUGAGCAGCAGUAAGAAAGGGUUUAGCUAAUGGAGAAAUUGACUCUUCCGAGAACCAGUAACGCGUAAACCAUGUCAAACCAAGACCGAUCAAUAUCCGAACGGAACGGAUAUACCAGUAGUAGAGUGGCUUGAAUCAAAUCGUUUGUCUAGAGGGAGUGUAGCGAUAACCAAAGCUGACUGUACUAGAAACUUUAGAUCCUGUCCGCUCAUAGCACGAUGGAAUUGCGCAAUUGUAGCCCGACGCGCUGCUUCAAUGGCUCGAUAUGAAAGACGACCAGCUCUACAACUUUUGGCCGGCAAAGAAAACCAACACUUAAGACGCUAUUGGAGACUAGCGUAGCUAUUAUUCGAAGCUUAUUAAUUUCUUUACUGCGUUCAAGGCAUGACCGCGUGAUAGGUGUCCUUUUCCCCCUACUCAAGAAGAGUUACAUCUAAGUUCCGAUCGUAAUAUGACAAACAAAUCUUACUUUUUCUUUCCCAAGCUGGCGCGGCUCGGCAAAAGUUGGUUCACUGACCAAAGACGACUUCUUUGUUCUUCAGUAGUUUCCUCCUUGACUAAGCACAUGCUUAAAGAUUUAAGUUCUAAAUAAUUCUAGGUAGCAUAUAAGAACGAGACCUAAGCUAUAAGCCCUAUAAAAGACUGUGCUGAUCGCGCAACUGAUCAUAUCCAGCGACCAAGCAGAUCAACUAGAAGGUCAUAUGUCCACCCGCCCUUUCCUUUGAGAAAUCCUAUUCCUAUCGAUUUAGCUGCAUAGGCAAUACGACAUUACUAUGAAUAAAUGACGAGCGAAUGGUGGCAGUACCAAAUGCCGAAUUAGCGGCUGUACCAAAUGAUCAAUGCCUCUGGGGUUUCCCUUCUCUUCAGCCCUUUUGCUCUUCUAACAACAAUGGUGAACGGCCAUUUGUCAAGGCCCCGGAAUCCGCUGGACAUCCCAGCGGCGGGAUUCGAUACCCGCAUCAGAUCGAAGUGCGGGCUCACUGAAAACCAAACUGUUCGUAUUUCUUUAAAACGCUGCUGCCCUAGCCGGGGGUCUGUCUAUAGAAGAAGGGAAUCCAGAGGAAGAAGCAGCUCCCCGAAGGGUUACCGAAAACUUUGUGAAAAUACUUCUACGAGAAGGUUUUAUUGAAAACGUUCGAAAACCAUAGGGAAAGUAACAAAUCUUUCUUGGCACGUGCCCCUGCUCCUGGUCUUCGAACUAGUCAUUAAUGGUCGGCAACAUAGGUACCCUUUUUCAGUAUGCGUUGCGAACACUUUCAUUUUUAGCGUCUCAUCUUCUCUGGAGAAGCUCAAAUCGGCUUGGGUGCAUCAAAACUUGCAAUACGAAGAUCCCUUUCAGAUCAGCAGGAGGAGCAGGUUGCACCACUGGUUGGGGAGGAAUUCGCGCAGCGGUUUCGAAGACUGAAGCACUUCUUGCAAGUAUCAACAGGUCAGAAUGCCAAAUAAGAGUUUCUUGUGGUCGAAAUCAAAUGGUAACCAGUUUGAGGGGUGAUUGAUCACUAAGCGACAUAUGGCACGAAAAGGAAAUCCAAUUUCGGUAAGACUUGAUCUGAAUCGUAGUUCAGAUCCAAGUCGGUUCAGUGAGGGCGCCCCGACCCAUGUUCAAUCACUGAAGUGUGGUUGAGUGAGAUGAUCCGCAACCAACAAAUGAUUUGUCAUUGUCUCUAAAUCACUGAAUGAAUUCGUUUUUUAUUUAUAUAUGAGAACUAGAGAGUUCACUAGCGCAGAAGGGGAGACCAGAAAAUGCCUUUUGUUUUCCCCCCUUCAGCGGCCCUAGCCGCCUUCGUUAACGAGCCCUCGAGCCUCCUUUGCGCCGCCUUCCUCAUAGAAGCCGUUGGGUUGACCCCGAGGGCCGAAUUCAA
This 39866-nucleotide long non-coding RNA is filed under the name Oryza sativa (Asian cultivated rice). Its description in RNAcentral is "long non-coding RNA (OSAT_LNC000165)". The stretch from base 23344 to 23509 matches the Rfam family "Bacterial small subunit ribosomal RNA", at positions 920 to 1378 of the family's 1533-position model. Lineage: Eukaryota; Viridiplantae; Streptophyta; Magnoliopsida; Poales; Poaceae. The record is from RNAcentral.